Molecule: ribosomal RNA, 209 nt
Filed under: uncultured bacterium
Lineage: Bacteria
Description: partial 16S ribosomal RNA
Rfam family: Bacterial small subunit ribosomal RNA
Source: RNAcentral
CGCGUAGGUGGUUCGUUAAGUUGGAUGUGAAAUCCCCGGGCUCAACCUGGGAACUGCAUCCAAAACUGGCGAGCUAGAGUAGGGCAGAGGGUGGUGGAAUUUCCUGUGUAGCGGUGAAAUGCGUAGAUAUAGGAAGGAACACCAGUGGCGAAGGCGACUUACUGGACUAUUACUGACGCUGAGGUACGAAAGCGUGGGGAGGCAAAACA